CUUUUGCUGAGAUGUAAGUCGCUUUGGACAAAAGCGUCUGCUAAAUGAAUAAAU
Molecule: regulatory RNA element, 54 nt
Organism: Scleropages formosus (Asian bonytongue)
Lineage: Eukaryota; Metazoa; Chordata; Actinopteri; Osteoglossiformes; Osteoglossidae
Rfam family: UnaL2 LINE 3' element
About the family: The eel long interspersed element (LINE) UnaL2 and its partner short interspersed element (SINE) share a conserved 3' tail containing a stem-loop that is critical for their retrotransposition.
Source: Rfam